GAGGCAGGUGGCAAUCUACGAUCUAUAGCUCUGGCCCUUUGGGUAGGGCAGAGCAAUGAGCAGUCUUUAGCGGCAGCCUUCGGGCUGGAGCAGACAGCAAAUACAGUCUGGGGCUCUGACCCUCUCGGUGGGGCAGAGUAACAAGGCACAGAUACACUGGUGUAAAUCUAGACCGAUUGCACUGACACUGACAUUAGAGGAACCACACUGAGACCUAUAACUGAGAUAAUUCAGAUCGGGACCUUAAGGACAGUUACCGGAAUCAGGAACUCGAGAUGGAACAGGAGAACCUCCUCGAUGAUGGACAAUGAG
This is a long non-coding RNA of Trachemys scripta elegans, 312 nucleotides long. RefSeq lists it as uncharacterized. NCBI's taxonomy places the organism in Eukaryota, Metazoa, Chordata, Testudines, Emydidae. The transcript is spliced from 3 exons. The record is from RefSeq and is a predicted model, not a curated record.